GAAGAAAUGACCCAGGAGCUGAUAUUCAUGACCCUCCAAGAGACCCGGCAGCUUGUGGGCAUCUCAGAUGAGCCCCAGGCAGUUCUGAAACCCAGGACCAGGAAAAGAUAAGAGGGUGGGCUGAGGUCACAUCACCCUGUAACGUUUCCAAAAGGGAACUGUCAGGCCUCUGAGCCGAAGCUCAGCCAUUGUAACCCCUGUGACCUGCACAUAUAUGUCCAGGUGGCCUACAGGAGCCAAGAAGUCUGGAGCAGCUGAAAAACAAGGAAGUGAAACAGCCAAUUCCUGCCUUAACUAAUUAACCCACCUUACGACAUUCCACCAUUAUGACGUGUUCCUGCCCUGCCCCAACUGAUCAAUCGACCCUGUGACAUUCUUCUGGACAAUGAGUCCCAUCAUCUCUCCACCAUGCACCUUGUGACUCCCUCCUCUGCUGACAACAGAUAACCACCUUUAACUGUAACUUUCCACAGCCUACCCCAGCCCUAUAAAGCUGCCCCUCUCCUAUCUCCCUUCGCUGACUCUCUUUUCAGACUCAGCCCACUUGCACCCAAGUGAAUUAACAGCCUUGUUGCUCACACAAAGCCUGUUUAGGUGGUCUUCUAUACGGACAUGCUUGACACUUGGUGCCAAAAUCUGGGCCAGGGGGACUCCUUCGUGAGACCGGCCCCCUGUCCUGGCCCUCAUUCCGUGAAGAGAUCCACCUGCGACCUCGGGUCCUCAGACCAGCCCAAGGAACAUCUCACCAAUUUCAAAUCGGAUCUCCUCGGCUUAGUGGCUGAAGACUGAUGCUGCCCGAUCGCCUCAGAAGCCCCUUGGACCAUCACAGAUGCCGAGCUUCGGGUAACUCUUACGGUGGAGGAUUCCCAGCCAUAUGAAGACACCCUAGCUGGACGAUCAGUCCUUGUCAAAAGUCUGACCCCUCAAACUCUACAGCCUCAAUGGACCAGACCCUACCCGGUCAUUUAUAGCACACCAACUGCCGUCCAUCUGCAGGACCCUCUCCAUUGGGUUCACCAUUCCAGAAUAAAGCCAUGCCCAUCAGACAGCCAGCUUGAUCUCUCCUCUUCCUCCUGGAAGCCACAAGAUUAGGCCGAGAGCCGAUCAGACAAACAACCUACAACCCUUAAGCUCCUGGCAGCGCCCAGCCAAGGCCAUGCUUCCUUGCAACACUCCUUCCAAAUGGCCAUCCCAGCAUGCUUCCAAGCAGGCUUCAUCCGUUCCUCUGGACCCUCAUCUCUUAAGACCUGCCGCCUAUAAAAAGGAUUAUAUCUUGAGACCCUAUCCUCUAAAAUUUUUUCCACACCCAAAACAAAAAAUCUCUGGGUCAAAAGUCUAAAACGCUUAGGCUGGCAACCAUCAGAUCCUUGCCCAUGGUGUCCUCAAGCCUACUCUCAUGAAAUGGACAACAGUACACGCAUAUGGGGCCAGUUCCACAUAUUUGGCAACCAGACCAGCAUCCAGGACAACACAAAGUAUGUUGUUUGUUGUUAGAGGGCUUGGGACAUUUCACUCUUUGCCAGCCUCAGCUUAAUCCAGGAGACAAAGAUUAUUUUCCUUAUUAUCUCUUCUGCAUAGGAUCUGCAAUCAGAACUAUUGAACUUCUCCAUUCAGACCGCCACUCACACCUAUGGGAAAAGGGUAAUGUAUCAUCGGCUUAGCAACAGGGAAUACUAUUCGUAUGAUGGAAAAUGGGGACAAAAGGCUUUGGUACAUAAAACAUUAUUCCUUCCUUGGCCUAAAAACUCAUCGCCACCUACAUUAAAGCUAAUAUGCCUGAUUACUGUUUUUAGAGAACUUAUUUUAUUAGGGCAGUUCCAAGCUCAAAAAUACGCUAACUGGCACCUUGUUAGCUACAUAAAAAUGCACCCUAGACCCGAAACUUACUAGACUCAUUAUAAAAUUUUCUUUAAGGUGUCCACGCAGUCCCUGGUCACACUUGAAGCAGUCCGGAGAAAUAUCAGCCCUACCCCAGUAAUCCCCAGAAGGAACUUACACUUUUUUUUAAUCUUUUCCUACAACUUCAUAUUUUAUAAAUAAAAAGACAAAAAUGUCAGGCCUGUGAGCUGAAGCUUAGCCAUUGUAACCCCUGUGACCUGCACAUAUCCGUCCAGGUGGCCUGCAGGAGCCAAGAAGUCUGGAGCAGCCGAAAAACCACAAAGAAGUGAAACAGCCAGUUCCUGCCUUAACUAAUUAACCCACCUUACGACAUUCCACCAUUAUGACUUGUCCACCAUUAUGACUUGUUCCUGCCCUGCCCCAACUGAUCAAUCAACCCUGUGACAUUCUUCUCCUGGACAAUGAGUCCCAUCAUCUCUCCACCAUGCACCUUGUGACCCCCUCCUCUGCUGAGGAUAACCACCUUUAACUGUAACUUUCCACGCCUACCCAAGCCCUAUAAAGCUGCCCCUCUCCUAUCUCCCUUCACUGACUCUCUUUUCGGACUCAGCCCACUUGCACCCAAGUGAAUUAACAGCCUUGUUGCUCACACAAAGCCUGAUUGGGUGUCUUCUAUACGGACACGCGUGACAGGAACCUCAACCCAAAGGCAGUCUGAUGAGGUGUCUAAGAUAAAAGUAGCGGCACAAAGGCUUUUGUAAACAGAGGCGUUUCAUGUGGUUUUCCUUUCCUUUCCUUAUAUGUGAAAAGGUGACAGAAAAGAAAUCUUCCUAAAAGAGUCAGCCACUG
Homo sapiens (human) is the source of this 2688-nucleotide long non-coding RNA. Ensembl annotates it as urothelial cancer associated 1. Its record names the gene UCA1. NCBI's taxonomy places the organism in Eukaryota, Metazoa, Chordata, Mammalia, Primates, Hominidae. The record is from Ensembl.